AAUCAACGCUGGCGGCGUGCCUAACACAUGCAAGUCGAACGCGAAAGCCCCGCAAGGGGCAAGUAGAGUGGCAAACGGGUGAGUAACGCGUGGGUGACCUGCCUUCGAGCGGGGGAUAACGUUUCGAAAGGGAACGCUAAUACCGCAUAACAUCCCGCCUUUGAACAGGUGGAGAUCAAAGCUGGGGAUCGCAAGACCCGGCACUUGAAGAGGGGCCCGCGUCUGAUUAGCUAGUUGGUGAGGUAACGGCUCACCAAGGCAACGAUCAGUAUCCGGCCUGAGAGGGCGGACGGACACACUGGGACUGAGACACGGCCCAGACUCCUACGGGAGGCAGCAGUGGGGAAUUGUUCGCAAUGGGCGCAAGCCUGACGACGCAACGCCGCGU
RNAcentral lists this ribosomal RNA (388 nucleotides) under uncultured bacterium. RNAcentral describes it as "bacterial SSU rRNA". It matches the Rfam family "Bacterial small subunit ribosomal RNA", at positions 29 to 402 of the family's 1533-position model. The record is from RNAcentral.